UACAGAGGAUGCAAGCGUUAUCCGGAAUGAUUGGGCGUAAAGCGUCUGUAGGUGGCUUUUUAAGUCCGCCGUCAAAUCCCAGGGCUCAACUCUGGACAGGCGGUGGAAACUACCAAGCUGGAGUACGGUAGGGGCAGAGGGAAUUUCCGGUGGAGCGGUGAAAUGCGUAGAUAUCGCUUGGAACGCCAAAGGUGAAAACAGGUUGCUGGGGUUGUGCCGACGCUGAGACACGAAAGCCAGGGGAGCAAACGGG
RNAcentral lists this ribosomal RNA (253 nucleotides) under uncultured bacterium. RNAcentral's name for it is "partial 16S ribosomal RNA". It matches the Rfam family "Bacterial small subunit ribosomal RNA", at positions 524 to 776 of the family's 1533-position model. The record is from RNAcentral.